Ascosphaera atra is the source of this 89-nucleotide non-coding RNA. Lineage: Eukaryota; Fungi; Ascomycota; Eurotiomycetes; Onygenales; Ascosphaeraceae. The record is from the annotation of a GenBank genome assembly.
GGUUGUGUAGUGUAGUGGUUAGCACAUUGGAUUUUGACGUCUUUUAAGCCGAAAUUCCAAUGACCUGGGUUCGAGUCCCAGCACGACCU